Molecule: unclassified non-coding RNA, 343 nt
Filed under: Hevea brasiliensis (rubber tree)
Lineage: Eukaryota; Viridiplantae; Streptophyta; Magnoliopsida; Malpighiales; Euphorbiaceae
Source: RNAcentral
GGGGAGGGGGGGGGGUGUGUGGUGUUUGGGUUGGGCGCUCGCCAAGGCAGUUCCCAUUGAAAAACAUUGGUUAGGUUUUAUUUCUGCUGUGCUUGUAAGAAUGACAGAAAAUAAACAAUGAUAGCCAUGUAAUAAUUCAGUCAAGUUUCGCAUUUUAAAAUAUGAGUUAAAUAACUUAUCAGAAAUACAUAUUGGUCGCCAAAUAGGGAAUCACUUCACGUGAAAAUGCCUAGCAACAAAAACUAGUGUGGAAACAUGUCACCCAAUUAAGGGGUAGAUGAAUCUAAGUAGACAAAUGUUGAGCAAUUGUGCAAGGGCAUUACCUGACAUUAGUAGGAAGAUA